GACUCGGUAGUCCAAAAAAGAGACGGCUCUAUUAAACGAGUGUCAAUGUGUAGGUUAAAGUCCUACUCGAGUCG
Molecule: transfer RNA, 74 nt
Filed under: bacterium
Lineage: Bacteria
Description: tRNA-OTHER
Source: RNAcentral